GCUCUCGAACCAGCCCCUGUGCCACAGCAACGACUACACGCCUGGUGAUCGGCCCCUCCCUCCACCUCCCAUCCGCUACUGCCCUCACAGGCCGCCUCAAAAGGGUCGCCCCUCACACGGACGAGGGAGUCGGCACGCCAGGAGGUCACAGUUCGGCCCUUAAGGUCAGCCAGGAGGAAUCGCUCGUCGGAGAUUUGACCCCUUCCCCAACCCGCCGCCUCUCUCCAUCCACCCUCGCCGACCCUCCCGGCUUCCCGUCUCCCUUCGCAGGGACACCGCACGGGCACUGGGCCUUCGCUCGAUGUUGGCCCCCCAACGCUUAGAGCCUUUCAAUAAACCUCUUCGGGAGAGA
Molecule: long non-coding RNA, 352 nt
Organism: Rhincodon typus (whale shark)
Lineage: Eukaryota; Metazoa; Chordata; Chondrichthyes; Orectolobiformes; Rhincodontidae
Exons: 2
Source: RefSeq, a predicted model, not a curated record